Molecule: ribosomal RNA, 432 nt
Filed under: uncultured bacterium
Lineage: Bacteria
Description: partial 16S ribosomal RNA
Rfam family: Bacterial small subunit ribosomal RNA
Source: RNAcentral
ACGAACGCUGGCGGCAUGCCUAACACAUGCAAGUCGAACGAGACCUUCGGGUCUAGUGGCGCACGGGUGCGUAACGCGUGGGAACCUGCCCUUAGGUUCGGAAUAACUCCCCGCAAGGGGUGCUAAUACCGGAUAAUGUCUUCGGACCAAAGAUUUAUCGCCUUUGGAUGGGCCCGCGUUGGAUUAGCUAGUUGGUAGGGUAAAAGCCUACCAAGGCGACGAUCCAUAGCUGGUCUGAGAGGAUGAUCAGCCACACUGGGACUGAGACACGGCCCAGACUCAGAGGGGAGGAGGAGGGGGGAAAUAUGGAAAAAGGGGAAAAAGCUGAACCAAGAAAGGCCGCGGGAGGAAGAAGGCCUUUGGGGUUGAAAGGCUUUUUACCCGGGGAGAAAAAGGAAAGAACGGGGAAAAAAAGCGCGGGAAAACCCGGGG